UUUCCCUAGUACGGCGAGUGAAGCGGGAAGAGCUCAAAUUUGAAAUCUGGUAGCCUUCGGUUGCCCGAGUUGUAAUCUAGAGAAGUGUUUUCCGUGCCGGCCCAUGUACAAGUCCCUUGGAACAGGGCGUCAUAGAGGGUGAGAAUCCCGUCCUUGACAUGGACCCCCGGUGCUUUGUGAUACACUUUCAACGAGUCGAGUUGUUUGGGAAUGCAGCUCAAAAUGGGUGGUGAAUUCCAUCUAAAGCUAAAUAUUGGCGAGAGACCGAUAGCGAACAAGUACCGUGAGGGAAAGAUGAAAAGCACUUUGGAAAGAGAGUUAAACAGUACGUGAAAUUGUUGAAAGGGAAACGAUUGAAGUCAGUCAUGCUCUUAGGAUUCAGCCGUUCUGCGGUGUAUUUCCUUUGAGUGGGGUCAACAUCAGUUUUGAUCGAUGGAUAAAGGCACGAGGAAGGUAGCACUCUCGGGUGAACUUAUAGCCUCGCGUCAUAUACAUUGAUUGGGACUGAGGAACGCAGCAUGCCUUUAUGGCCGGGAUUCGUCCACGUACAUGCUUAGGAUGUUGACAUAAUGGCUUUAAACGAC
This 584-nucleotide ribosomal RNA is filed under the name Naganishia adeliensis. Its description in RNAcentral is "partial large subunit ribosomal RNA". It matches the Rfam family "Eukaryotic large subunit ribosomal RNA", at positions 75 to 648 of the family's 3401-position model. The record is from RNAcentral. Lineage: Eukaryota; Fungi; Basidiomycota; Tremellomycetes; Filobasidiales; Filobasidiaceae.